CGGGAGAUGGCUGAGUGGUCGAAAGCGGCGGUCUUGAAAACCGUUGAAGGUAACACUUCCAGGGGUUCGAAUCCCUUUCUCCCGGCCA
This 88-nucleotide transfer RNA is filed under the name Helicobacter sp. 11S02629-2. RNAcentral describes it as "tRNA-Ser". It matches the Rfam family "tRNA". Rfam says of the family: Transfer RNA (tRNA) molecules are approximately 80 nucleotides in length. Their secondary structure includes four short double-helical elements and three loops (D, anti-codon, and T loops). Lineage: Bacteria; Pseudomonadati; Campylobacterota; Epsilonproteobacteria; Campylobacterales; Helicobacteraceae. The record is from RNAcentral. RNAcentral also lists the same sequence under 1 other name.